GACGAACGCUGGCGGCGUGCUUAACACAUGCAAGUCGAGCGGUAAGGCCCUUUCGGGGUACACGAGCGGCGAACGGUGAGUAACACGUGGGUGACCUGCCCUCAGCUCUGGGAUAAGCCCUGGGAAACCGGGUCUAAUACCGGAUAUGACUCCAUGACGCAUGGUUGUGGGGUGGAAAGCCUUGUGCGGCUGAGGAUGGGCCCGCGGCCUAUCAGCUUGUUGGUGGGUGAUGGCCUACCAAGGCGACGACGGGUAGCCGGCCUGAGAGGCGACCGGCCACACUGGGACUGAGACACGGCCCAGACUCCUACGGGAGGCAGCAGUGGGGAAUCUUNCGCAAUGGGCGAAAGCCUGACGCAGCGACGCCGCGUGAGGGAUGACGGCCUGG
RNAcentral lists this ribosomal RNA (388 nucleotides) under uncultured bacterium. RNAcentral describes it as "bacterial SSU rRNA". It matches the Rfam family "Bacterial small subunit ribosomal RNA", at positions 28 to 419 of the family's 1533-position model. The record is from RNAcentral.